Molecule: long non-coding RNA, 1500 nt
Organism: Melopsittacus undulatus (budgerigar)
Lineage: Eukaryota; Metazoa; Chordata; Aves; Psittaciformes; Psittaculidae
Exons: 7
Source: RefSeq, a predicted model, not a curated record
UAUAUAAUCUUAAAAAUAAGCAAGCAGUAGCAACAGCACUGCAACCCCUGGCUACCCACAAAUGGCACUGUGUCUAUUUGAAAGGCUAGUUAAAGGGGUUGAAUUCUGUACAGAGUCUUGAUGUUACCUGUUAACAUUCAUCAGCAAUAAUUGAGUCUAAACAGAGCAUAGGUACUGGGAAAGUGAAUACAAGUCACCUCCACUAGAGAAGACUAGACAUCAGACCUCAGAGCUGAACAGCUGUUGAAUGAUGGCUUCUGGAAGCACAGCAAAUGGCUUGGAUUAAGACCUGGCUACAAAUUUACAAGCUCAAGUUACUGUUGAAGCACAGCAAGUUGGUGUCCCUGCACACUUACAAGAAUCAAAUUUCUUUAAGAGCUUUUUGGCUUAUCCCUGAAGGGUAUCACUUGUUUUCUCUGCACCAGUAUUUGCACUACACUGUGGGCAACACCUCGAAGAAACACAGUAUAGGAGAUAUCUUGCUGCCUGACCUCCUAUGGGAAGAUUUUGCAGAUAGGUCCAGCAUCAUGCCCACUAGCCAAAAGGAACUCUGAUCUUCAGUUUUUGAUUUGAAAACAGGGCUGUCCUGAGAAACUGUAAGAGCCUUCACUGAGGAACAGGAAAGAGCAGCUGCUUGGUGUAUUCUUCAAGUGGUGAACACCUGCUUCUGGAGAGGUUCUCAAUUCUAUGCUGCCUACAAAACUCAGAACAAAACGAAGCAGGAUCCUGGAGGAGCACCAGGGCUCUGCACCUUGUGCGAAGACACUAGAACUCCCAGAGACCUUUUAAUCAGAAGUUGGCUACCAGACAGAUUACUUAGGUGCACACAAGGCAACAGAGGAGCAACAGAGAUCAACCUGAAGGAAGAUUAUCAAAUCACACAUCAAUACACCUGAGAUAGGAAUGAUCCAGAUCUUGUAAAUCAGGUUUGAAUCUGAAGUGUUUUGCAUAUGCUCAGCAAAGGACCACAGGAUGCUACUGGAAUUAAGACUACUGCCUGGGUAGCACUGCUGAUAGGAUGCUUUAUUUUAAAUUGUGUUCAGGUAUGUGUAAGUAUUCCUAAAAAAAUUCCAUUUGCAUCAGGCAGUAUUUCAAAGGAGAAGGUUUACCAAAUCUGGGAACAAUACAAAAGGCAUAUUCUAAUUGAAUUUCUGAAAUGUUAGAUCAGUAUGACAACACCACCACAGCUUUUAAAAUAAAGUAAGAGAACCUAUAAUCUAUCUGUACUUUUUUCCAGGAUGGUUGUAGUCUCUCUGAGAAUAUUUUCUAUCUGUACAGCAUAUUUAUAAAUUGUAGCAUAUACAAGCACAUAAAAGUAGAUUUCUAAGUUUUUAUUCAUUACACAGAAUUCUGAGAACUGUGUGUUUAUUUGAAAGUAGAAGGUAUACCUGUCUAGCGUAUAUGCAUUAUUUUUUUAAUUUUAUUUCGCACUUAUUUCAUGCAUCGCACAUUGCAAAUGAUACACGGGUAACCAAUGUACAGAGGGGUAAUACAGAGAAA